UACAGAGGGUGCGAGCGUUAAUCGGAAUUACGGGGCGUAAAGCGCGCGUAGGCGGCUUUUCAAGUCGAUUGUGAAAUCCCCGGGCUUAACCUGGGAACUGCGUCCGAUACUGGAAGGCUUGAAUCCGGGAGAGGGAUGUGGAAUUCCAGGUGUAGCGGUGAAAUGCGUAGAUAUCUGGAGGAACACCGGUGGCGAAGGCGACAUCCUGGACCGGUAUUGACGCUGAGGCGCGAAAGCCAGGGGAGCAAACGGG
RNAcentral lists this ribosomal RNA (253 nucleotides) under uncultured bacterium. RNAcentral describes it as "partial 16S ribosomal RNA". It matches the Rfam family "Bacterial small subunit ribosomal RNA", at positions 524 to 776 of the family's 1533-position model. The record is from RNAcentral.